RNAcentral lists this ribosomal RNA (484 nucleotides) under uncultured bacterium. RNAcentral describes it as "partial 16S ribosomal RNA". It matches the Rfam family "Bacterial small subunit ribosomal RNA", at positions 30 to 507 of the family's 1533-position model. The record is from RNAcentral.
AUUGAACGCUGGCGGCAGGCCUAACACAUGCAAGUCGAGCGGAUGAAGGGAGCUUGCUCCUGGAUUUAGCGGCGGACGGGUGAGUAAUGCCUAGGAAUCUGCCUGGUAGUGGGGGAUAACGUCCGGAAACGGGCGCUAAUACCGCAUACGUCCUGAGGGAGAAAGUGGGGGAUCUUCGGACCUCACGCUAUCAGAUGAGCCUAGGUCGGAUUAGCUAGUUGGUGGGGUAAAGGCCUACCAAGGCGACGAUCCGUAACUGGUCUGAGAGGAUGAUCAGUCACACUGGAACUGAGACACGGUCCAGACUCCUACGGGAGGCAGCAGUGGGGAAUAUUGGACAAUGGGCGAAAGCCUGAUCCAGCCAUGCCGCGUGUGUGAAGAAGGUCUUCGGAUUGCAAAGCACUUUAAGUUGGGAGGAAGGGCAGUAAGUUAAUACCUUGCUGUUUUGACGUUACCAACAGAAUAAGCACCGGCUAACUUCGUG